This is a long non-coding RNA of Spea bombifrons (plains spadefoot toad), 895 nucleotides long. RefSeq lists it as uncharacterized. The transcript is spliced from 2 exons. Lineage: Eukaryota; Metazoa; Chordata; Amphibia; Anura; Pelobatidae. The record is from RefSeq and is a predicted model, not a curated record.
GGUGCUUCCAGGUCAAAUGCUGGGCUGGGCUGAUCAGAUCGCUCCUAGCCAAUAGGAGUGAUCGGAUCAUUAUGGCAGCCCAUGGAUGACCCUGCUCUACAAAGAGAGAGGGGUCAUCUAGGUUAAUUAUGAAAAAACACAAAUUAUUAAUAAAUAAAAAAAUCAUAAUUAUUACCUGAUCACUUGUCGGUGACAUUUUAAGUCGCUGAUUAUUGAUCGGUCUCCCUGAUUGAUGUCAGCGGCCUAAACCUGUCACUUACAAGUAAUCUGAUAAAAAAAAUAUUUUAAAAAAUGUAAAUGCACAUGUUCCAGUUUUGCCCUCAUAGCUUCCUCAAAAAAUGCAUGAACCAUGCAUGUGAGGCCUUGUUGGAACCGGGGGAUGUUGGUGAACACAAUUUGGUGUUUUGUUCUGCAGUUGCACAUAUUCUAUACAAAAUAUAAUAUAAAAUCUAAAGCAACAUUGCAACAUAUGCAAAAAAAAAACAAAAAAAUAUAAAAAUACCUCAAAAUUUGGCAGCAAUUGGCGAUAAAAUCCCUGUUUGAAAAGUGUCAAAAUGACCCUAGUUGUACACCUUGACUUAUCUACUGUUCAUAAACAUAUAAUUUUGGGGGGAUAAUCAGUAUCUGUGACAACUAUUGCAGUUAUUAGACUACCAUGCCAAAUUUGAAAAAAAUUAAAUUUCAAAAACGUGAUGCAUGCCUUGCAAUAUUUGCCCUAUACUGGUCAAAAUAGAUAAAAAUCCUGGCCAUGUUGGGUGGUUUCCAAAUCAGGACAACUUAAUGAAUAUAUUUGGGAUAAUUUUUUCCCAUUGGUUCAAUGUGUGUACAAUUUGUAUGUAUACAAAACUCUUAAUAUGGUUUCAAAUGAAAGCUCUACUUGUGCUGAAAAAAACAA